This 468-nucleotide ribosomal RNA is filed under the name uncultured bacterium. RNAcentral describes it as "partial 16S ribosomal RNA". It matches the Rfam family "Bacterial small subunit ribosomal RNA", at positions 28 to 507 of the family's 1533-position model. The record is from RNAcentral.
GACGAACGCUGGCGGCGUGCUUAACACAUGCAAGUCGAACGGAAAGGCCCUGCUUUUGUGGGGUGCUCGAGUGGCGAACGGGUGAGUAACACGUGAGUAACCUGCCCUUGACUUUGGGAUAACUUCAGGAAACUGGGGCUAAUACCGGAUCGGAGAUCCUGCUGCAUGGUGGGGGUUGGAAAGUUUCGGCUGUUGGGGAUGGACGCGCGGCUUAUCAGCUUGUUGGUGGGGUAGUGGAUUACCAAGGCAUUGACCGGUACGCGGCCUGAGAGGGUGGCCGGCCACAAUGCGACUGCGAGACGGACCAGAGUCCUACGGGAGGCAGCAGUGGGGAAUAUUGCACAGUGGGAGGAAGCCUGAUGCAGCAACGCCGCGUUCGGGAUGACCGCCUUCGGGGUGUAAACCGCUUUCGCCUGUGACGAAGCGUGAGUGACGGUAAUGGGUAAAGAAGCACCGGCUAACUACGUG